This 1218-nucleotide long non-coding RNA is filed under the name Macaca mulatta (Rhesus monkey). RNAcentral describes it as "lncRNA (ENSMMUG00000064355.1)". The record is from RNAcentral. Lineage: Eukaryota; Metazoa; Chordata; Mammalia; Primates; Cercopithecidae.
GUUACCUAGAGGCCAGAAAAUGUGGAGAUGGAGAUACUGAGGAGUAUGAUGACCUGGUCCAAGAAUGAUCACUAUCAACUUUUCUACCUUCACAUGAUACUUUUUUCUACUUGUUCUGAAGUGUUAACCAGAAAGAGCAGAAAGUAUCAGCCAGAGAAAAGACAUCUCUCUGUGAGACCAGUAAAUUCUUUAAAGUUGUAUGAUCUCCAGAUCUCCAUUACCACGAUAGCAAAUGACUCAAGGUUUUUUGGCUAGGCCCAUAUGGCAUUUAAUAUCUCCUCUGUAAUUUCAGCCAUAAAACUGUGAAAUUGCUCUAGCUUCUAGGCAGCUUUCAACAUUUCUGUUAUUCCUUCUGCUACUUACAAAGACUUCCUACUUUUUGCUGCUUGUAUCACAAUUUAUUGUUUUUUUCAAUUCUAAUCCUUACAGAUGAAGGGAAAUUGCAUAGCUUUUUAGCUGUAAUUCAGGAGGUAAGUGUGUCCAGGGCUGAUCUUACAAAUGAAUCCUGAUUUGAUGUUGUUUACAGAUAGCUUUUUCUUAAAAAUGACAAGGAUAUUUCCUGUGCAAGAUACAUUAAUAUGUAAUUAUCAUGGAAUAUGUAACCAUCAAAUCAGGUAUUGCUCUAUUUUCCCAAGUAAGUAAACUAAUGCCUUUGAAUUGAUCCUACAUUCUAGCACACACACACAAAAGUCAACAUUUAACAUAUAGUAGAUAUGUUUUAGUUCAUGAUUUUGGGGUGCUAUGAAAGCAAAAGAAACUUGAGACAUAUUCAGGUAACCUGAUUAAAAAAUGAUAAAUUGAUCAAUUACAUAUUAAAAGCUAUUAAGUCCCCAAGAAGUAUCAGCUAUUAAAAUAUAAGCUAAUACUUCAGAGAUCACUACAGAAGCCAAAAGCAAUGCCUUUGCUAGUUUAUUUGGUAAACAAGCAACUCUUGCUAUCCAACCCAUUUAGAUGCUAUUGACAUCUAUCUUAUUAAGCAUUCGGAGAGACAAUUGACUCAAUUUAGAUAAAUAUAAUUGCUUACAACUUAACUAUUCUAUUUAACCUUUGCAACCAAAGCAUAAGUAUUAUUAUUAUUUUCUCUCAUUUUACAGAUGAGAAAUCCGAGGCUCAUAUGUAACGAGUUUCUUCAGGGGAACCAGGGUACAAACCCAGGUCCUUUUGAUGUUUAAAUCAAUAUGCUUAAUCACUACUACAGUAUAUUGCCAAAGAUUUUCU